AUUGAACGCUGGCGGCAUGCCUUACACAUGCAAGUCGAACGGCAGCGGACCUUCGGGUGCCGGCGAGUGGCGAACGGGUGAGUAAUAUAUCGGAACGUACCUUUCAGUGGGGGAGUAACGUAGCGAAAGUUACGCUAAUACCGCAUAUUCUGUGAGCAGGAAAGCAGGGGAUCGCAAGACCUUGCGCUGAUUGAGCGGCCGAUAUCAGAUUAGCUAGUUGGUGAGGUAAAGGCUCACCAAGGCGACGAUCUGUAGCGGGUCUGAGAGGAUGAUCCGCCACACUGGAACUGAGACACGGUCCAGACUCCUACGGGAGGCAGCAGUGGGGAAUUUUGGACAAUGGGCGCAAGCCUGAUCCAGCCAUGCCGCGUGAGUGAAGAAGGCCUCGG
This 389-nucleotide ribosomal RNA is filed under the name uncultured bacterium. RNAcentral describes it as "bacterial SSU rRNA". It matches the Rfam family "Bacterial small subunit ribosomal RNA", at positions 30 to 420 of the family's 1533-position model. The record is from RNAcentral.